AGGGAAGGAACAGCAAAGGGCCUCUUGCAGAAACAGGGCAGGUCUGGCUUCCAGCUCCUCUGCGGACUAAGCAAUUGUGUGACCCGGGCAGGGCCUGGCCCGCAUUUGCACCACACUGGCGUUCUCUAAAACCAGGGCUGGGUUGGAGUCAGAUCUUCCAUCAGACAAGCACACCCUCAGCUCGGAUUUGCUUUGAAGGUCAGUGAUUUCCACUUCUGCUCUUCAAAACAACUGCACAGUUCUCCUGGGACCCAAAUGUUGAUUCUCUGCACUGAGGAUUGGGUCUCCCUCCACAAGAAGUACAUUCCAGAAAUAUCCAUCCAGCAACUCAAAAAGGCAAGACAUCCAGGAGGGUGAAAGAGUCACCAGGCCUGGGCCUUGUUUCCAGAUCACUUCUACUAGCGAGGACCCAACUCACUGAUGGAGGCCAAGGGACCUGUUCGACGCUCUUUGAGGCACCAAUCCCUCAUCUCUCUUUUAGACACUGAGGAAGGAGUGCUGCCAGUGGGUGGGGUCAAGCUAGUGAAGAAUUUUGAGCUAAGUAUUGAGGAAGAGGAGGAUUGAUGGAGGGAGACGAUUAGAGAGGGGCUUACCAGGAGGAUGGAACAGCUCGGGCAAAGGAGGAGAGGCUGGGCGAGUGGACAGUGAUUCUGAGGACUAUCUCGUGGUCUGUUGUGAGCUGGUGCGUGGGAUUUGGAGUUCGACGUGUGGAGAGAUGAAGCUGGAAAAGUAUGUGAUUGAGACCACAUUGUGAUGGGAUUUGAAGAGCUUGCUCAGGAGCCUGACUUUAUCCCCAAAGGACUGGGGGCCCCUGGAGGGUUAGAAGCAGAGCAGAGAUUUAGAGAUGCCCUCCUGGUGGUGAUGGAAGGGAUGGAGAGAGGAAUGAGGAAUGCUUGAAGGCUAAAGAGGAAUGAGGUUGCCCAGCGCUAGGAGAUGAAGCUGUCUGGGCUUCCCCAGAGAGACCAAGCAGGGCCUUAGCUCCCUGGCGAUAGAGGGAGAGAAUGGAGGCAGUGCGAGAGUAGGAAGGGGUCAAGAAAUCAGGUGAAAGGAAAUGCAAGUCUGACUCAGAGCAGUGGUGGUGGGAGGAGGACGAGCAGAGUCUGGGGACAGUUUCUUCUCCAAAAGGCCCUGACUGGGUUAGUCUUUGCUUAGAUGCUGGGUGGGAUUGUCAAAGGACCAUCAGGUUAGUGAUACCAGGUGCUAAAGACCAAUGUCAUGACUCCCUGUUUUUUAUCUUUUCAUUUUGAAAUAAUUUUAGAUUCACAGAAAGUGGCAAGAUAGUGCAGAGUGGUCCCUUCACUCUGCCUCCCCCAAAGGUUACAUCUUGCAGAAUUAUAGUAUGAUAUCAAAAGAGACACACGCUGUUUGACCUUCAAACCCAUGCAGCCCUUGCCUGGGUAUUUGGGCUCAUGUGCUAUGAGCUGUGGCUUGUUUGAAGCACUGGCCUGCUCUAGCCACCACGGUCCUUCCCUGGAGAUGGAAGGUCGAGCCCAAUCAGACAGGACAAGAGGCCUCGGGAGAGUCUGCCCCAUCCAUAGGCAGACCUGGAACUAGGUAGGUAGCUUUUGGCUCAGAAUCUGCAGAGCUGGGUUGAAUUGCGCUGACUCAAGCUGCAAGAUAGAAAUCCUGCCUCAGUUCCCCUUCUUAGCACUCCAGGUCCUGGCUGAACCUGGGAGCUGGUUCUGAACCCCAUCUUGCCUGGUUGAGCUGUGUGACCCCUCUCUAUCUUAUAGUAGUCACACCUCAAAGGGAUAUUCCUGCUCCCUGCCCCAUCCCAAAUCCCAGACUUGCUCCAGAGAUUACCCAGAAUACAGUAUCAUUGCCUAGAGGGUCUUAGAAUCACCAGGGGCCACUUGGCCUUCUUGAGACUAGGAACCAACCUCAACCAAGAUCAAGAUGGAUGCAUCCUUUUGAGCUCUGCAUGAAGUCCCCCUGGGACCCACCUGCUCACCUCUCUCCUGGCCUUGACUUUCUCCAGCUCCCUUGCCCCACAGAAGACGGGCCUGCUGAGAAGACGACCUUCUAGCACAGGACACCCCGCUAUCUCUGAGCUCUUUACCAGGGGUUCUGUGAUAAAGGCCUGGACGGGUCCUGGACUGGGAGGCAGAGCAUCUGGCCCCUCGUAUGGUCCAUCACUGACCUGCCACGUGACUCCAGGCAAAUGAUUAAAUCCUCUACUGGGGGCAGUCUCAACACUAACCACAAAUGACUGAGACCCACCAGAAGUUAUUGAACAAGGUUUGGAAAGUACAAUGCUGUAAAAAUUACAGAACUCUGUGGUUCAGACAUUCAAUCAGGUGCUAAUUCCCUCUCACAGUUUGAGUUCUACUGAUCACUUUCUUUACCCAUGAAGGAUAAUUAAUAAUGAAACUAUUUGCAGAGCUUCUACCAUGUUCCAAGUACAUUACAAAUAUACCAAAAUGAGGGAUCUUACAGGAGAAGAGAACAAGGCUCAGAGACUCUUCUUUCAACAAACGCUGGUAAAGCCCCUGCCCUGGGCAUUUUGUUACCCUUGACACGGGGGCUUCGGACCAACCCGACCCUCACCUACGCAGAGCAAUGAUGGUACAUCGACGAUGCUCCAACCUGACUGUCUGCAACCAAAGCAAAUGUCCACCCCUCGUCCUUCAUUGCUUGCUGGCUCUUUGUGGAUAAGAUUUUCCUGAGACAGGCAAAGACCUAAAAGGGCUGCUUCCGGCUCCCACUCCAAACACACAGUGGAGUCCCAUGUCUGUAGAUGGUCCUGCUGGAAUACCGGCCACUCAGCUGGGGAGGGUCCCGGCUCUCCUGCCUCCAGUGCAGUCUCCCCCCUGGAUGGUCCCAAGGUCUCCUGCUCCCAUGUCUUCUCUGCAUUCUGGGUGACCUUGGGUUGGCACGUCCACUGUUCCAGAGGCUUCCAUGGCUCCCCAGUGACUGUUGACUUCCAUUGGAGUCCUCGACUCAUGUCUCAGUCCUCCUCAGCUUACACCUUGGCCUUCUGCAUCCUGUCCCCCAUUCCUUCCUCCUGUGCUCUGGAUGCCCUGCAGGUAUGUGCUGUGUGCUCCCUGUGUGCCAGGCAGCGUCCCAGAGCUGCUGCUGAGCCAGGCUGAACCAGGAGGAGGAGCCUCUGCUCACAUGGGCCUUUGAGUCCUCUAUCCAUUCUCUGGUUAUUUAGGAGACGGUGGACUGGCAUCCCGGCCUCCAUUCCUGUGGCUCUGCUGGAGUCUCCUCUUGUCCCCCGAGGGUGAGGCUCAGCACACUUCCUUCAGGCACCCACGAGCCCUCACUGUUCUUGCCUCCACCGCCGUGGCCACCAGCUCCCAACCUGUGUCAGCUUCAGUCCAGCGCCCCAUCUUCCCCUGGCCUUGGAAGCACCAGCAGCCAGGCCAGUUGUCCAGUGGGGGUGACAUUUCUAGUGACACUACAUGAGAUCUUCCCGUGGAUCUUGCUUUCACUAGCUCCCAGGAGGGCCCCAUGGCUGCCCUGCAUCCCCAGGGAAUUACUCACCCAUCCUGGAGCACCCCUUUCAUUCCACCAGAGCUUACAAUUACCCACCACGAGCUACGUUGAGGACAUCGACUCUGCUUCCUUGGUAACGUUUUCUGGUUUCCAAAUGACCUCUCAUUGUACCUCUGAGUGUUGCCCUCACUGUUGGUUUCUGGAUCAUUAGCACCUGUGACCUGGGGCCCACCACAAGUAUUUGUUGACCAAGUGAAUGAGGACAUGUAGGAAAAGCUACCCUGAAGAAGGAACAUUUGAGCCGGGUCAUAAAAAAGGGGAGGAGAUUCCCAGCUGAAUAAAGGGCUGGGAAAGGCCAUUCCAGCAAAGGGUACGGCAUGAACAAAGGCUUGGGGGUGUGAGAGAAAGAGCUCGGGUAUUGGGGACACGGCGAGGUUCCCAUGGGUAUAAAGGUGAGAAGAGUGCAUCCUGAGAGUGAAGCCCCUGGAGACCGACAGUAAAAGGGGGACAAGUUGGAGAGGGCCUUGAAGCACACUGGACUUCAACCUGAGAGAGGUCAGUGGUGAGUUUUGAGAAAAGGAAUAACACCCUUUUAUUCAUUUAUGUUUGAGGUCCGUUACUGUGGGUGUGGGUAGAAUGUGGACUCAAGGAGAGAAGAGAGGAGAAUAUUUGGAAGACUCUUGUGAUAGCCUCUUUUAAAAUAUACAUUUAAUGAAGUUCCAAGUAAUGAUAAAGGACCAGCUAACCUAGAAAGCCACCGUGAUGGAGAGAAGAAUGGAUUUUCAAAUUAUUCUGUUAUUUACACAGAAUCAAAGAGGCUACCUCCCC
Rhinolophus ferrumequinum (greater horseshoe bat) is the source of this 4266-nucleotide long non-coding RNA. RefSeq lists it as uncharacterized. The record is from RefSeq and is a predicted model, not a curated record. NCBI's taxonomy places the organism in Eukaryota, Metazoa, Chordata, Mammalia, Chiroptera, Rhinolophidae. The transcript is spliced from 3 exons.